Molecule: RNA transcript, 1464 nt
Organism: Anguilla anguilla (European eel)
Lineage: Eukaryota; Metazoa; Chordata; Actinopteri; Anguilliformes; Anguillidae
Gene: mrps21
Gene name: mitochondrial ribosomal protein S21
Exons: 2
Source: RefSeq, a predicted model, not a curated record
UUUUAUUAUUUUAAGUGUUUUGAUAAUCAGAAUGCAUUUACACAGUGGUAUUGUGUAAGAGGUCACUUGGGCUUCAUGCGGUCACCACAAUGAUAAUGUCAACGCUGCAGUUAAUCGGCUUCAGAUAAGCGCAUAAUUUAUGACAUAAGCUAACUUGACUAGCUAAUGUUGUUAAUAACGUUUAGUAACAGCAGCAACCACGCAGGCAUUUGAAAAUACGGUGGUGGAUAUAAAUAACUAGAAUGCUGGCCCAACACUCUCUGUACUUGAACUAGCCGCGUACUUCAUGGUACAGCCAACAGGGGGCGAAAUCUCAUGCAUAUUUGUUUUCUUGACUGGUUUUCUUGACCAGCUUUACGGUUAACGGCUCAUGUUAGGCAGUUCUAAUGGUAUGAUAGUUUCUAAGUCAUUGCUAGAGAAUAGCGGAUCCUGUUGGCUGUUUUAUUAGGCUUUAUAUAUGUAGUUAUGAUUUUUUGGAACUGAAUGUAUUACCAGUUUUUCCUCGAGUAUAAAGUAAAAUUAUGAAACGCACACCGAUCGCAAUCAGAAGAUACUGAAAACGAUUUUAUGUCGAUACACAGUAUAGUUGUCUGGCAGUUGUAUUAAUGUGCAGGCGGAGAUCUAGUAUAUUCAGAAUACCACUAUUGUACACUUUUCAGGUUCUGCAUUUUUUUUUAAACAAAAGCUUUUUCCGAUUAUUACAUUUAAUUAGUACAGAAAGCAAGCACGGGUAAACAAAACACGUCAUAAAGGCCGACGUUCAUUACUGACAUGGAAUCUAAAUUCUUUCAGAGAAACAAUGCGAAACAUUUGUUAUUGAGAAUCCCUUUCGGCAGCAAGCUUAAUUGAAAUGUUUUCUCAUUGCCUUUGCUGUAUUUUCUGUUGUAUAGGUGUCGGUUUGUUUUUUUCUUUUUCUCCCAUGUCUCAAUUUGGUUAUUUUGCUUUGCGGUUUAGAUACCAGUCCCCACACGCGACUGCACAACCUAGCCGUAAAUUCAUAUCAGCGGUAGAAACUGUUAUACAACGUUCUGGCACAAUGACGAAACGCAUUGGUUGUAGACGUUCAGGGCGGGGCGAUUAUCCUUUUCCGCUUUCCUAUUGGUUCGUACGCCUUUUGGGGGCUUGGUUUUUGGUGGUUUUCCAGUAAAUGCCUGGUGCGUCAAUAUCCGAAACAUGUGCUUGCAGCCCCUGUAGUCACUGAAUCUAGAAGGCGCAGUCCGUGUACUCUUGAGUGGAACAGAACGUCGUGCACCAGCGACCACAGUGAUGAAUUUAUGGCUGCCAAACCAACCGGCAGUAACAAAAUAAUUCGGACUGCAUUGCCGAAACGGUGCUGUCAGUGGACGGAGUGAUCGAAACGGUGCGUCGGAAUCGUUACUAUGAGAAGCCGUGUCGGCAGCGGCAGCGGGAGAACUACGAGACGUGCCGACGGAUUUACCACUCGGAGAUGGCCAGGAAGAUCGC